RNAcentral lists this ribosomal RNA (922 nucleotides) under uncultured bacterium. RNAcentral describes it as "bacterial SSU rRNA". It matches the Rfam family "Bacterial small subunit ribosomal RNA", at positions 72 to 990 of the family's 1533-position model. The record is from RNAcentral.
AGAGGGGCUUGCUUCUCUUGAGAGCGGCGGACGGGUGAGUAAUGCCUAGGAAUCUGCCUAGUGGUGGGGGAUAACGUUCGGAAACGGACGCUAAUACCGCAUACGUCCUACGGGAGAAAGCGGGGGACCUUCGGGCCUCGCGCCAUUAGAUGAGCCUAGGUCGGAUUAGCUAGUUGGUGAGGUAAAGGCUCACCAAGGCGACGAUCCGUAACUGGUCUGAGAGGAUGAUCAGUCACACUGGAACUGAGACACGGUCCAGACUCCUACGGGAGGCAGCAGUGGGGAAUAUUGGACAAUGGGGGAAACCCUGAUCCAGCCAUGCCGCGUGUGUGAAGAAGGUCUUCGGAUUGUAAAGCACUUUAAGUUGGGAGGAAGGGUAGUAACUUAAUACGUUGCUACUUUGACGUUAUCGACAGAAUAAGCACCGGCUAACUCUGUGCCAGCAGCCGCGGUAAUACAGAGGGUGCAAGCGUUAAUCGGAAUUACUGGGCGUAAAGCGCGCGUAGGUGGUUUGUUAAGUUGGAUGUGAAAGCCCCGGGCUCAACCUGGGAACUGCAUCCAAAACUGGCAAGCUAGAGUACGGUAGAGGGUGGUGGAAUUUCCUGUGUAGCGGUGAAAUGCGUAGAUAUAGGAAGGUACACCAGUGGCGAAGGCGACCACCUGGACUGAUACUGACACCGAGGUGCGAAGGCGUGGGGAGCAAACAGGAUUAGAUACCCUGGUAGUCCACGCCGUAACGAUGUCAACUAGCCGUUGGGUUCCUUGAGAACUUAGUGGCGCAGCUAACGCAUUAAGUUGACCGCCUGGGGGAGUACGGCCGCAAGGUUAAAACUCAAAUGAAUUGACGGGGGCCCGCACAAGCGGUGGAGCAUGUGGUUUAAUUCGAAGCAACGCGAAGAACCUUACCUGGUCUUGACAUGCU